Molecule: ribosomal RNA, 464 nt
Filed under: Vreelandella stevensii
Lineage: Bacteria; Pseudomonadati; Pseudomonadota; Gammaproteobacteria; Oceanospirillales; Halomonadaceae
Description: partial 16S ribosomal RNA
Rfam family: Bacterial small subunit ribosomal RNA
Source: RNAcentral
CCUACGGGCGGCAGCAGUGGGGAAUAUUGGACAAUGGGGGCAACCCUGAUCCAGCCAUGCCGCGUGUGUGAAGAAGGCCCUCGGGUUGUAAAGCACUUUCAGUGAGGAAGAACGCCUGGUGGUUAAUACCCAUCAGGAAAGACAUCACUCACAGAAGAAGCACCGGCUAACUCCGUGCCAGCAGCCGCGGUAAUACGGAGGGUGCGAGCGUUAAUCGGAAUUACUGGGCGUAAAGCGCGCGUAGGUGGCUUGAUAAGCCGGUUGUGAAAGCCCCGGGCUCAACCUGGGAACGGCAUCCGGAACUGUCAAGCUAGAGUGCAGGAGAGGAAGGUAGAAUUCCCGGUGUAGCGGUGAAAUGCGUAGAGAUCGGGAGGAAUACCAGUGGCGAAGGCGGCCUUCUGGACUGACACUGACACUGAGGUGCGAAAGCGUGGGUAGCAAACAGGAUUAGAUACCCCUGUAGU